AGACACCACUGCAUUACUGUGUUGCCUUGGGGGACAAGGUGAAUUUUACUAGUGCUGGUCUGCCACUGUCAAUAAGGUACUUGUGCCUGAGGCAGCUAAUAGAAUUUAUGCGUUUGGUAUAGUGAGGAACUUCAGACAGAGAGCUACACUGCAAGCCAAAAGGUAUUUUUUAAAUAUAACCUAGUGUUUCUGCUACAUAGAGGUAGAAUUUCUGUCUUUUUUAAAUCUAUACUUAGAAGCAACUGGGUCUAAUGGCACAAAAUAACUGAAUAAAGCUGUAGGGUAUAUUAUCUUGUAAAGCAAUGUUUCUACUCUACUACCAGCAGAACAUUCAUCUUUUGACAUAUUGUUCAUAUUUAGGCAUGAAACUUGUGCUCUCAUUUUCUUUCACUUUUAAGUCAAUUUGUAUGUGUCAAUAUUGCAUGUCUUCAGUCAUUCUUAGUCGUUUCAGGGAGCAUUAUGGGAGUCGGUUGCCCAACUCAUCUGUACCGACUAGUAAACGCAUACAAGUGACGGAUGCCUGCCUUUAUGGUACAUGUGAACAAGAUGCUGGCACAAACAUCGGUGAAUCAGCUGAGACACAAAUCAGCUCCAAGAAUCAGCUGUGUGUUUGCGCAUGGAGCACUGAUUUACACCAUGAACCUGAGAACCCUUGCAAAAUGCACUGCUGCAGGAACAAAAACACUGAUAGCCCAUCUCCAGUUGUGUAAAAUGAAAAGAAUAAAAAUUUGCCUCUA
Molecule: long non-coding RNA, 737 nt
Organism: Anguilla anguilla (European eel)
Lineage: Eukaryota; Metazoa; Chordata; Actinopteri; Anguilliformes; Anguillidae
Exons: 2
Source: RefSeq, a predicted model, not a curated record